Molecule: ribosomal RNA, 417 nt
Filed under: TM7 phylum sp. oral taxon 347
Lineage: Bacteria; Candidatus Saccharimonadota
Description: bacterial SSU rRNA
Rfam family: Bacterial small subunit ribosomal RNA
Source: RNAcentral
GAUGAACGCUGGCGGCGUGCCUAACACAUGCAAGUCGAGCGCAGCGCGAGUAGUUUACUACUUGGCGGCGAGCGGCGGACGGCUGAGUAACGCGUGGGAACAUGCCCCAAAGUGAGGGAUACUGCCCGAAAGGGUAGCUAAUACCGCAUAUGAUCUUCGGAUUAAAGGAUUUAUCCGCUUUGGGAGUGGCCCGCGUCGGAUUAGGUAGUUGGUGAGGUAAUGGCUCACCAAGCGCGAUCCGUAGCUGGUCUGAGAGAUGAUCAGCCAGACUGGGACUGAGACACGGCCCAGACUCUACGGGAGGCACAGUGAGGAAUUUCCACAAUGGGCGAAAGCUGAUGGAGCAACGCCGCGUGCAGGAUGAAGGCCUUCGGGUUGUAAACUGCUUUUAUAAGUAGGAAUAUGCGGUAACUUAUA